This is a non-coding RNA of Pimephales promelas (fathead minnow), 227 nucleotides long. NCBI's taxonomy places the organism in Eukaryota, Metazoa, Chordata, Actinopteri, Cypriniformes, Leuciscidae. The record is from RefSeq and is a predicted model, not a curated record.
AAAAGUAGAACCUAAUCCAAAUAAAAAUAAGCAAACCGAUAAAAGGACUGUGCUACCCAAUUCCUCCACCAAAAUAUAACAAUCCAAAACCCAAGCCAGUUGAAGGUCAACACAAAACUAAUGAAGAUAAAGCACAUUCUUCAAGCAAUAAAAAAAGAUUAAGUUUUGUGUCCAACACACUUGGAUGAGACGUGCCCGACCCCUGACUUUGUGUACUGCAUUAAGUU